Plodia interpunctella (Indianmeal moth) is the source of this 1501-nucleotide long non-coding RNA. RefSeq lists it as uncharacterized. The record is from RefSeq and is a predicted model, not a curated record. The transcript has 2 exons. Lineage: Eukaryota; Metazoa; Arthropoda; Insecta; Lepidoptera; Pyralidae.
UAUACGUGCAUACAUAUGCAGUUCGCGCUCUUGUAGGUAGAAAAAGCUAUACAAACCCCGUCACAUCUUUCAUUGAAAGAAAGUUAAGUAAAAUACAUGAGAAGAAACUACACAGAGUGAUAACACUUUUGCAACUCAAAACGUGCCUCAAUCUACCAUUUUAUGGUAACCACCACCACAUAGUGGUAGUUUUAGGCACGUUUUUCUUUCCGAAGUUUAGCUGGAUUGGGCCCGGAGAUUAGUUAUACACGGAUGUUUCGUCCGAGGCUAAAACAAAAAAAUGUUAUUAGAAGCCAUAGAUUUAAGAACAUUACAAUGUAUGUACUGAAGAAGCGCUAAAUUUUAGAUUGACAUAAUUAUCAUGGAAUUAGUAGGUACUCCGUAGGAAGUACGUACUACAUUCAUGAUUAAUAUACAUUUCAUUCGUUCAUUUUUAGAAUCGAUAAAAUAAGGUAGGUAGAUAAAAAUAAUACGAUGUUGGUAAAGCAAGUGUGGAGUGGAAUUCUUGGUACCUACCUUGGUGUAGGUAGGUUACACGAGUAAUAUAAAAUAGAUACAUAAAUAUUACAUUUAUUGUAUAAAGUGAAUUUCGAACUAAUAAGAUGUCAGUAAAACCUUUAUCAUUAUGUCGAUUAUGUAUGAAAAAAUAUAACUAUAACGAAUUGUUUAAAAUAGAUAAUGAAAAUGCCGCCCUUGACUCUGUAAUAUUUUUUUGUGUUGAUAUUAAGGUUUCUUUUGUAUUAUUCAUAGAUGCAACCAGGAGAUGGACUGCCAGAAGUAAUAUGUAUAGAUUGUCUGAGAAAAGUUAGAAUGUUUUAUAACUUUAAAAAAAAUUGUUUAGAAGUGGAUUUAAGAUUAAAACAUACAAUAUUAGAAACAGCUAAACAUAAUAUAGAUACAAAAAGAGCUAUUGGAGUAAAUGAUAUUUUUUCAAAUAGAACGGAAAUUACACCCAACGACUGCACUUCUCCAAAAAACAAUUGCCUUGAAAGUUGGAGCGAAAAAAUUAAUGCAGCUGCUCACAUAAAGAAAAUCAAUAAUUUUAACAAUAUAUAUCAAUGCGAACAAUGUGGGCAAACUUUUAAAUUGAAAACAGAUUUAGAGAGACACAUGACUGUUCAUUCAGGGAUAAAACCAUAUAUAUGUAAAUUAUGCCACAAAGGAUUCACACGAGCUGGAAACAGAAUGAUCCAUAUGAGAUCUCAUUUGGAAAUAAAACCGUAUAUUUGUGAAACAUGCGGAAGGACGUCGACAAAACGUUCGGAUUUAAUAAGACAUAUGAAAAUACACAGUGAUGAAAAAAAUUACUCGUGUUUGCUAUGUAAUCGCAAGUUUAAGCGAUCAUUUGAUGUUAACAAUCAUAUGCGUACACAUAAUGGAUUGCGACCAUAUAAAUGUAAAGUUUGCGAAAAGACCUACACGUCUCUGAGUGGAUUGCGGAAACAUAAUAAAAAUUAUUGUAAAAAUGAUUAAAUUAAACAAUUACACAUUUAUAAAAUAA